AGCAGCCGCGGUAAUUCCAGCUCCAAUAGCGUAUAUUAAAGUUGUUGCAGUUAAAAAGCUCGUAGUUGAAUUUCGGGAUCAAUAUGUUGGUCGUGCCUUGGUACGUACUGGCAUUAUUGGUUCCUACCUUCUGAAGAACCUCGAUGUCAUUAAUUUGGUGUCUUGGGGAAUCAGGACUGUUACUUUGAAAAAAUUAGAGUGUUUAAAGCAGGCUCGCGCUUGAAUACAUUAGCAUGGAAUAAUGAAAUAGGACGUUUGAUUCUAUUUUGUUGGUUUCUAGGAUCGACGUAAUGAUUAAUAGGGAUAGUUGGGGGCAUUAGUAUUCAAUUGUCAGAGGUGAAAUUCUUGGAUUUAUUGAAGACUAACUACUGCGAAAGCAUUUGCCAAGGAUGUUUUCAUUAAUCAAGAACGAAAGUUAGGGGAUCGAAGACGAUCAGAUACCGUCGUAGUCUUAACCAUAAACUAUGCCGACUAGGGAUCGGAUGAUGUUAAUUUUUUAAUGACUCAUUCGGCGCCUUACG
This 521-nucleotide ribosomal RNA is filed under the name uncultured Glomeraceae. Its description in RNAcentral is "SSU rRNA". It matches the Rfam family "Eukaryotic small subunit ribosomal RNA", at positions 569 to 1092 of the family's 1831-position model. The record is from RNAcentral. Lineage: Eukaryota; Fungi; Glomeromycota; Glomeromycetes; Glomerales; Glomeraceae.